This 59-nucleotide transfer RNA is filed under the name Microbulbifer rhizosphaerae. Its description in RNAcentral is "tRNA-OTHER". It matches the Rfam family "transfer-messenger RNA", at positions 314 to 374 of the family's 374-position model. Rfam says of the family: Bacterial tmRNA, also known as 10Sa RNA or SsrA, is named for its dual tRNA and mRNA-like properties. Its role is to liberate the mRNA from a stalled ribosome. The record is from RNAcentral. Lineage: Bacteria; Pseudomonadati; Pseudomonadota; Gammaproteobacteria; Cellvibrionales; Microbulbiferaceae.
AUGUAGAGCCUCUGGCAGAGUGCUGACGGACGCGGGUUCGACUCCCGCCAUCUCCACCA